Molecule: ribosomal RNA, 643 nt
Filed under: Noricella oreinos
Lineage: Eukaryota; Metazoa; Mollusca; Gastropoda; Stylommatophora; Hygromiidae
Description: partial 12S ribosomal RNA
Source: RNAcentral
UAUUUUGUUACGGUUUCAAAUUUAUUAGACGUUAGCUAACCAUGGAAUUUAAAGAGAAUAACAGUUAAGAAUUUUUUUUCUUGUUACGCGAGUGAGCAAAAGUAAGCGUUAUAUUUAAGGCUAAGAUAGUGCCAGCAGCCGCGGUCAUACUAUCCUAAAAAGUAAAUAGAAAUAGUUUAGAGUUAUAUAUUUAAAGAAUAAUGUAGUACUUUGGUGAAAUAUAUUUUAAUUAUAUACAUAAGUAAAUAGAUAAUUUAUAAAGACAAACCACAAACAAGGAUUAGAGACCCUUUUAUGAUGUAUUUAAAAAUUAAUUCUGGGUAUUAAAGUGCUAUCACCUAAACCCAAAAAACAUGGCGGUAAUUUUAAAGCUUAGGGGAACUUACUUAUUAAAUGAUAACCACCAAGAUAAGUCACUUUAUGUAAAAUUUUGUAUGCCGUCGUCGUGAAUAAAUAUUAUAUUUAUUCAAAGUAAUAUCUAUUUUAUAUAAUGACAGAUCUAGGUGCAGAUAAUCUUAAAGAAUAAAGCGAGUUACAAUAAUAAAUUAUAUACUAUUCUGGUCUUUAACAUACCAUCAAUAGGUGGACUUAAAAGUAAGAGUGUUUUAUUAUGAUUAUUCUCUGAAUAUAUCUAAAAUUGUGC